CGAGCAAGGUCUGGAUAACCAAUUGUUGAUUAUAGAUUCUUAUUUAGGUAUAGGUUCUCUGGGUAACCUCUUGUGUCCCUUUUAACCCUUAGGUUCUGAGACUGUGCUUCAUUCAUGAUUCAGGAAACCUUACUUCUUCUAUCCAACUCUUGUAUUCAAGGAACUACAUGUUAAUUAUGCUUAGAAAACACUUAGAAAUUGUCACAGUUACCUCAAUCUUCAGAAAACACCACCUUGCUCAGUCAGCCACCAUCAGCACAGAGAUAAGACCUCCACCAGCAAAAAUAUUAUGAUUUGAAGCAGGCUCAGCUUAAUGCUUCUGCUGAGUUGGCGGCUGACCUGGGAUAUGUAGACACUUACAGAUAGUCCAAAGAAAAGUCACAAAACAGGUAUUGCUUUAAGCAAAUCCUAUCGUCCUUUCAAUUCCUUUCGGUGCCCUUAUGGCAAAUACUCUCUAUCU
RNAcentral lists this long non-coding RNA (460 nucleotides) under Monodelphis domestica (gray short-tailed opossum). Its description in RNAcentral is "lncRNA (ENSMODG00000041469.1)". Lineage: Eukaryota; Metazoa; Chordata; Mammalia; Didelphimorphia; Didelphidae. The record is from RNAcentral.